This 168-nucleotide ribosomal RNA is filed under the name uncultured Prochlorococcus sp. Its description in RNAcentral is "partial 23S ribosomal RNA". The record is from RNAcentral. Lineage: Bacteria; Bacillati; Cyanobacteriota; Cyanophyceae; Synechococcales; Prochlorococcaceae.
GUCAAGCUACAAAGGGCUCACGGAGGAUACCUAGGCACACAGAGCGAUGAACGACGUGUACUGCGAUAAGUCUCGGGGAGUGAGCACACUUUGAUCGGGAUUUCGAUGGGGCACCCCUAGACGUUCGCUGAUCAUAGCGACGCAGCAACAAGCGACUGAACAUCUAGU